UAAGGAAUAUUGCUCAAUGGGAGAAAUCCUGAAGCAGCAACGCCGCGUGGAGGAUGAAGGGUCUAUGACUUGUAAACUCCUGUAAAGAAGGAAAAAAUUCCCAUUAGAUGGGAGAUGAUGGUACUUCUGGAGUAAGCCCCGGCUAACUACGUGCCAGCAGCCGCGGUAAUACGUAGGGGGCAAGCGUUGUCCGGAUUUACUGGGUGUAAAGGGUGCUCAGGCUGAUUUGUAAGUCAGAGGUGAAAUCUUACAGCUUAACUGUGAAACUGCCUUUGAUACUGCAAGCCUAGAGUAUGGAAGAGAGUGAUGGAAUAUCUGGUGUAGCAGUGAAAUGCGUAGAUAUCAGAUAGAACACCAAUGGCGAAGGCAGUCACUUGGUCCAUUACUGACGCUAAAGCACGAAAGCGUGGGUAGCAAACA
This 420-nucleotide ribosomal RNA is filed under the name uncultured bacterium. RNAcentral's name for it is "bacterial SSU rRNA". It matches the Rfam family "Bacterial small subunit ribosomal RNA", at positions 355 to 774 of the family's 1533-position model. The record is from RNAcentral.